GUCGAAAUGGACCUACAGCUGCCAGCCAUAGUCACAGCAACACCAGAUCCGAGCCAUGUCUGCAACCUACACCAUAGCUCACAGCAACACAAGAUCCUUAACCCACUGAGUGAAGCCAAGGAAUGAACCUCAUGGUUACUAGUCAGGUUUGUUUCUGCUGAGCCACCACAGGAGUUCCUUACUUGGGUAUUUUAAAAGCCCCUUUUGUUUACUAUCAAAAUUCCAAAACCUUCUCUAAUUUAAGGUGGGUACAUCUUCCUAAGAUUUGGGCAGGAGUGUGGAGGUAGGCUCUACAUUUCUUGUUCCAUCUCUGCCCAUGAUCACAUAGCAAGUAAGCAGUAGAGCCAUGAUUUGAACCUACAUGGUCCAGCUCUAGUCAGUUAAUCUCUUCUCAUUAGUCUUCACCAUCAGGCCCUGACUGCUGCCAGUCCAGUCUCCAAGCAACCUUUGGGAAAAAAAAAAACACUUCUGGUGCAGGGGAAACAUGCAUCUUGCCCACACACCCUCCAUGGUGGUGAAUACUGUUCCCACCAAAGGGCUCUCUCUCUCAGGCCACUCCAGGCAUGGGUGGCUCCAGCCGGUCUCUCUUAGGGAGCAUCACUGUCCUGGAGUCUCCCAAUCUCCCAUACAUACCAAGUCCUCCCAGCAGUUCCCUACUGACGGGGAGUAUCUUGCAACAUGCUAAUGGCUGUCUCAAACCGUCUUCAUCACCAACUCUUCCGCUUCGACCCCGGGGGUGAGCAAUUGGCUCACCCAGGCAAAACUAGCUGCCCAAUCAUAUAACACAACCUGCUUAGGUAAUCUCUUUAGGAUCUGGAAGUACUUGGUACCUAUUGUGUUUAUCUUGGCAUUGGGGCUUGGACCAUUUCUCUGAGACAACAAGAAUAAAGGUCACAUUUAAAAUCCUGAUAUUGCCUCUGCUGACUAAAGGCAUUAAAAAGAAAACGAACCACAUAUUAGGAUUAUUGGGGUAAAUUAACAUUGAGAAAUCUUUAAAGAUUACUUUUCUUAAGGAUUCCUGUUAGCUUAAUAAAGCAUUAAAAUAUUAAAAUUUCAAAUUUUAAUAACCAUAUUAAUUGAAUUUUAAAUUAAAAUAGCCAUAAACUCUUAGAAUUGGAAGGGACUUUUACAUUCAUUCAGUGAUGUAUCAGUUGCUAGGACAUUUCCACGUUCUUACCCGUUCAUGCUUGAACACCCUAAUGAUGGAGAAAUCACCGUCUCUUCAACAGUUUGUUCCCAUCUGGGAUUGCUUCCAACCAUCAGAAAGUUAUUCUAUGAAACUCGAAGCUGCCUCUUUAAGGUUUCCACCCCUUGAUUUGAUCCCUCGAGAUCACACAGAACAAGUCUAAUUCCCCUCUCACAUGACACACUUCAGACAUGUGAAGCCAGUGUCACUCCAACUUCUGACACUGCAUUUGCUAACACCCAGUUCCUUCAGCUACUUCCUUUGUAACACAGCUUCUACUGUCCUUGUUAUCUUGCUUAUUUUCUUCCUCAGUAAUUCCUGGCCUCCCUAUGGCACACUUGAGGUACAGCACCUAGAGCUGAAGUGAGAGUAGUCAAGCCAGUAGAAGAGGGAACAAUGCUCUCCUUCUCCACAGCACACUUUUUUGCUUAAUAAAACCUAAAUUAGGAGUUCCCAUCGUGGCUCAGUGGUUAACGAAUCCGACUAGGAACCAUGAGGGUUCAGGUUCGAUCCCUGGCCUCGCUCAGUGGGUUAAGGAUCUGGCAUUGCCGUGAGCUGUGGUGUAGAUUGCAGGUGUGCCUCGGAUUCCGCGUUGCUGUGGCUGUGGAGUAGGCCGGCGGCUACAACUCUGAUUAGAACCCUAGCCUGGGAACCUACAUAUGCUGCAGGUGCGGCCCUAAAAAGACUAAAAAAAUAAAAAUAAAACCUAAAUUAAGGAGAUCCCUAGUGGCUCUGUAGGUUAAGGAUCUGGCUUUGUCACUGCUUGUACCUGGGUUCAAUCCCUAGCCUGGAAACUUCCUCAUGCUGCAGGCAUGGUCAAAAAACAAAACAAACAAACAAAAACCUAAGUUAACAUUUACUCUGCUGACACUCACGGCACAAGGUGAAUUACACUAUAUUCACUACCAACAACAUUUCCUUAAGUCUUUUCCAGAUGUACUACAGCUAAGAUACAGCUUAUCCUCUAUAUAUGGUGUUGAUUUUAGCAUGCAAGUAGUGGCCCCAACAGAUGUUCUCUUUAAAAAUCGUUCUUUUAACACUCAUCAAAUUCAACAAGCCUAAAAUUUUAGGAUCCUAAUUUGACCAUUUAAUUUAUUCUCUUUAACUUCAUAUCAUCUCAAAUUUUUUAAGAGUGCUUUCAACAUCUUCAUCCAAAUCACCAAUAAAAAGGAUUAACAGGAAAAGGCCAAGGACAUUCCUAGAAUCAGCCUUCCAUUUGACAUCAAUCUACUAAACAGCACCCCCUUAGUAGCUAUUCAACUAAUCAUCAAUAUCCAUAAUGACAUCGCUCUCUUCAGCCAGGGGUAUAUAACGAGAGACUCUGUCAAGCGCCUUGUUCAAAUUCAGAUUUCUAGGUUCUCCACCCUUCUCAGCUCUAGAGAUCUGGACACCUUAUUGAAAAAGAAAUUCUACUGUGAUGGGUGUUAAACCCAUUCUGGCUCUCAUGAAUAAGUGAUGCUGCUUCUAAGGGCUCACCAAUCAUUUAUUUGAUAGCGCAUUACAGAAUUGAGGCCAUGUUCAUUAUCAUAGACCAAAAUGAAAUUACUUCUUCCCCUUUUUGGAAGUGUGAAGGAUCAGAAUCUUCAAACUUCUCCCAUCUGAAGCCCCUGAGUUCUCCAUGAUUUCUCACAGAUUUUGGACACAGGUCCGGUGUACUCAAUUUCAAGUUGCUCAGGACUCAGAGAUUUAAUCUACUCAGCUAAGAGACUUCAAAUCUCUAAUGGAACAGCUCAGAAUUCUCUUUCAGUGGCUAAAAUAAACAUUAACAUUAAUGUACUAAAGCCACUCAUUAGAAACCCAGGUUUUGGGUUUUGUGCUAUUGGAGAUAUUCUGUGCCUCACAGGAACACCAGUCUCACAGAAAAUCUUCCAAUGCUGUCUGCUCCCCCAAAGAAAGACUCUAGCAUCAUGGAAAAGUUACUGAUAUAGAAACAGAUGUUCCUAAAAAUACCCCUGGAAAUGUAUGGAUAUGAAACACAUGCCACAUAUAUUUAGUUAUAAAAAUAAGAAAAUCAUAUUUUUAUCUAGCAACUAUUUAUUUCCAGAAAGUGACUAAGCACUGCAAUCAAGUCAUACCUGACUUUUAAAAAAAUUAAGACAGAUUGAGCUGUCUAUCCCACAAAAGAAGUGUCUAUUAAUAAUCCAACUCCAAUUGCUAUGUAUAUUUCCUGGCAGGCUGGCUCCUGACUAAAAGCACCAGCUUUAUUUUCCUGAUUGGCUUAAAACAUAUCAUUCUGUGGCAUAAAGAAUUUUAUCACUGAAAGAUGUUCAUUGUUGUCUGGACUGAAAUAAAUAAGAUGUUCUUCUGAGAUACUCAAAAUUAAACUGUGAUUGAGAAUACGCAUGUAUAAAUUAUAGUGGGGGGUUUGUGCUUGGCUUGUACUGCCACCUGGUGGUUUCCUGCUUGUACUAACACAAAACUCAAUAAGGAAUUUCUUCUACUAGCAAUCAUUUAGCAGUUUCUUUGCAAUAUCAGUCACUAACAAGUCAAUACUUCCUGUAAAACCUCUAAAAUAGUGGUUUAGAAGAGAUUUGACUUAAAAUAUUUGGUAAAUAAGAUGAACCAUAUAUCAUUCAAACACAGUAAGCAUAAUGAUUAGUAAAUUGAUAAUAAAAAAUAUGUAGGAAAAGAAUUUAAGUCCCAUCACGCCCCAGAAUGAGAACAAAAUGAAAGAGACAAAGAGCCCCCCUAAACACAGACCUGCCUACCUCUUAGUUAAAAAAAAAUAUAUAUAUAUAAAUAUCAGAAAAACCAACUGGAAAUCUAGAGGUCAGUUUGUAUUUAUACAAAUGAAUAGUGUUACAAAAAUAUUUCUCAUAGAAUUCCUUAAGGUAUUGAUAUGUUUCAGAAUUCAUGUUUCUCUUUUGUGAAAUAAUUUUUUUGUCUUUGGUCCUACUGGGUAUUCAGUAGCCAUAUGAAUUAACAUGAAUAUUUUAUUAUUAUUAUAUUUGUUAUAAUUAUAUUACACAAAUUUGGCCAAGAGAUAUAUGAAAUUACUUUUUUUUCUUUUUAGGGGCGCACCUGUGGUAAGUUCCUGGGCUGGGGUCGAAUCCGAGUGGCAGCUGCUAGCCUAUACCACAGGCAACACCAGAUCCAAGCUGCAUCUUCAACCCACAUCUCAGCUUAUGGCAAAGCCGGAUCCUUAACCCACUGAGCAAGGCCAGGAUUGAACCUGCAUCCUUAUGGAUAUAACCUUGGUUCUUAAUAAAAAAAAUGCUGAACCACAACGGGAAGUCCUAGAAUGUCUCUUUAACUACUAAAGAUAAAAAUUUUGGAGUUCCCACUAUUGUACAGUGGGUUAAGAAUCCAACUAGUAUCCAUGAGGAUGAAGGCUCAAUCCCUGGCCUCACCCAGUGGAUUAAGCAUCCAUCGUUACCAUGAGCUAAGGCACAGGUCAGAGUCGCCAAUGGGAUCUGGCAUUGCUAUUUCUCUGGUACAGACCAGCAGCUGCAGUUCUGAUUUGAUCUCUAUCCUGGGAAAGUCCAUAUGCCACAGGUGCAGCCCUAAAAAAAAUAAAAAUAAAAUCUGACUGUAGUGGCUCCAGUUGUUGCAGAGUUGCAGGUCGAUUGAUUCCCCCACCCAGCACAAGGGGUUAAAGAACCUUCCUCUGCCACAGCUGCAGUCAUAACUAUGGCUCAGAUUCAGUCCCUGGCCUGGGAACUUUCAUAUGCCUCAGGCGUAGCCAUAAAAUAAAAAAAAAAAAAAAGUUUUAAAGUUGCCAAAUCAAGAUUACCAAUUAUUUACUUAUUCCAUGUAUUUAUUUUUAAAUAAAUAUUACUUAUUAUUUUGAAAGGCAAUAUUUUCUUAUGGCCAAAAAUUCUCUACAUACAUCAUUAUUCACUGUAACCAGUUUCUUGCAGAAACAGCCAUUUCGCUUAGUAAGUCCUUUCUACAAUCAAACUAUUAUUUUCACUUAGCCUAUUAUUUGAUUUUUUUCCCCUCAAUUUAAUUCUUUAAACUAGAUAAGGCUUAUUUUUAUUCAUAUCAGGUAAUACUCUUUUUUUUCCCAAGGUGACAAAUCACUCCUGUUAGAGACACAUGUGGAUUAAGCCCUCCCUCUUCUGCUGAUGUGUGAUGUUUGCUUUAAGACAUAUUAGGAUUUAACAUAAAAUACAAACUGUUUAGAAGGUCUACCUUCCUUUCCAUCCAAAGGGGAAUGCCUAUGCCAAUACCAUGCUGACAAUUAUUUUAUAAAGUUGAGAAUGUGUUUUCAUAUUUAACGUUGCAGUAUGUCUAAUAUUUAGUUUAAGGAAGGAGUUCGUCCUCCACCAUUAAUCUUUUCUAAAUUGUUCUGCCUAGUCUCAUCAAUCUCUGACGCCAAAUGAAGUUCAGAAUAAUUUUGUUAAAUUCCCCAAGAAUUUAGCCAAGUUACUUUAAUAAAGAGACCCUCUGAGAAUUAUUUUGGGAAGAAUUAUUACCUUCGCAGAUAGGUUGUUAGUAGAAAAAGCAGGAUUAGUGGUAAGCCUUCCAAUGUUCUUAAGCUGGAUGGCUUUUCAAGGAACAAAUUGAUGAAGAAACUCAAAAUGCAUUCUGUGCCUGCAAUGUGGCGGGAGAUAUGCAGAGAAACUCCCUAAUGCACAAUAAUUAAAAAUGCUGGAGAAAAUGUUUUAAAAUAUCAUUCUAAAUGCAUGGCUGAGUUGGAUGAAAAAUAAGGGAUGUCCUCAGAGGUCACACAUAAAAGAGAGCAUGAAUGCAAAGCAAGUUCUGGUGGUGGCGUUUGCCUGGGACACCUACAUACCUAGCCUUGGAGGCUUAGAGCGUAGGCUUCACAAGGCCAUAUGGGAGUCAGGAGAUAAGACAUGAGAUGAGCAAGGUGGAAGUAGAGGUAAGGACCCAUGCAUAAAGUUGUGACCCCCAAAAGGUAACAUCCUUGGUAAGUGAAUUGGGGGGGGGGGUUCAGUCAUCCUACAGAGAGAAAUAGUGGAGAAAAUUUGCCCACACAUUAUGAAGAAGGGUAAAUGGGGGAGGGGAUGUGUUUCCCUCGAAAAUGACUAGCACCAGUCCCCCUCACGCAGGGAGGGCACACCCU
Molecule: long non-coding RNA, 6215 nt
Filed under: Sus scrofa (pig)
Lineage: Eukaryota; Metazoa; Chordata; Mammalia; Artiodactyla; Suidae
Description: lncRNA (ENSSSCG00005037250.1)
Source: RNAcentral